RNAcentral lists this ribosomal RNA (1533 nucleotides) under Klebsiella pneumoniae. RNAcentral describes it as "bacterial SSU rRNA". It matches the Rfam family "Bacterial small subunit ribosomal RNA". Lineage: Bacteria; Pseudomonadati; Pseudomonadota; Gammaproteobacteria; Enterobacterales; Enterobacteriaceae. The record is from RNAcentral.
UUGAAGAGUUUGAUCAUGGCUCAGAUUGAACGCUGGCGGCAGGCCUAACACAUGCAAGUCGAGCGGUAGCACAGAGAGCUUGCUCUCGGGUGACGAGCGGCGGACGGGUGAGUAAUGUCUGGGAAACUGCCUGAUGGAGGGGGAUAACUACUGGAAACGGUAGCUAAUACCGCAUAAUGUCGCAAGACCAAAGUGGGGGACCUUCGGGCCUCAUGCCAUCAGAUGUGCCCAGAUGGGAUUAGCUUGUAGGUGGGGUAACGGCUCACCUAGGCGACGAUCCCUAGCUGGUCUGAGAGGAUGACCAGCCACACUGGAACUGAGACACGGUCCAGACUCCUACGGGAGGCAGCAGUGGGGAAUAUUGCACAAUGGGCGCAAGCCUGAUGCAGCCAUGCCGCGUGUGUGAAGAAGGCCUUCGGGUUGUAAAGCACUUUCAGCGGGGAGGAAGGCGGUGAGGUUAAUAACCUCAUCGAUUGACGUUACCCGCAGAAGAAGCACCGGCUAACUCCGUGCCAGCAGCCGCGGUAAUACGGAGGGUGCAAGCGUUAAUCGGAAUUACUGGGCGUAAAGCGCACGCAGGCGGUCUGUCAAGUCGGAUGUGAAAUCCCCGGGCUCAACCUGGGAACUGCAUUCGAAACUGGCAGGCUAGAGUCUUGUAGAGGGGUAGAAUUCCGUGUAGCGGUGAAAUGCGUAGAGAUCUGGAGGAAUACCGGUGGCGAAGGCGGCCCCCUGGACAAAGACUGACGCUCAGGUGCGAAAGCGUGGGGAGCAAACAGGAUUAGAUACCCUGGUAGUCCACGCCGUAAACGAUGUCGAUUUGGAGGUUGUGCCCUUGAGGCGUGGCUUCCGGAGCUAACGCGUUAAAUCGACCGCCUGGGGAGUACGGCCGCAAGGUUAAAACUCAAAUGAAUUGACGGGGGGCCCGCACAAGCGGUGGAGCAUGUGGUUUAAUUCGAUGCAACGCGAAGAACCUUACCUGGUCUUGACAUCCACAGAACUUAGCAGAGAUGCUUUGGUGCCUUCGGGAACUGUGAGACAGGUGCUGCAUGGCUGUCGUCAGCUCGUGUUGUGAAAUGUUGGGUUAAGUCCCGCAACGAGCGCAACCCUUAUCCUUUGUUGCCAGCGGUCCGGCCGGGAACUCAAAGGAGACUGCCAGUGAUAAACUGGAGGAAGGUGGGGAUGACGUCAAGUCAUCAUGGCCCUUACGACCAGGGCUACACACGUGCUACAAUGGCAUAUACAAAGAGAAGCGACCUCGCGAGAGCAAGCGGACCUCAUAAAGUAUGUCGUAGUCCGGAUUGGAGUCUGCAACUCGACUCCAUGAAGUCGGAAUCGCUAGUAAUCGUAGAUCAGAAUGCUACGGUGAAUACGUUCCCGGGCCUUGUACACACCGCCCGUCACACCAUGGGAGUGGGUUGCAAAAGAAGUAGGUAGCUUAACCUUCGGGAGGGCGCUUACCACUUUGUGAUUCAUGACUGGGGUGAAGUCGUAACAAGGUAACCGUAGGGGAACCUGCGGUUGGAUCACCUCCUU